GCUGGAUGUGGUGGUGCACACCUGUCAUCCCAGCAACUCUGGAGGCUGAGGCAGGAGGAUCGAAAGUUUGAGGCCAGCCUCAU
RNAcentral lists this small RNA (83 nucleotides) under Marmota monax (woodchuck). Lineage: Eukaryota; Metazoa; Chordata; Mammalia; Rodentia; Sciuridae. The record is from RNAcentral.